GGGGGAGGGGUGCUGGGGGGGCGGCACUAAACCAAGAAAUUCGGGCUUGUGUAAUGAAGCGAAAAAGUGCUCGAGACUUGAAUGCUACUCGGUACAUUCAAGGGAUCGACGGUGGCCAGGAACAAAUUCAGACAGCACGAAGGACCUGGAGCUGGGGAGAGAGGCCUGGCCAGGAUCCGGAUAAUCACAGCUCACUAAAGAGAUUGAGGAAGGUAAACAGGUCUGUUGGGAAUAGAUGGGCUGGGGUGGGAUUCUUAACAAACUUGAGUCAUAGAAUCCGAGCCACAUAGCCCAGAGGAAAGGUCAGGUCCCCAGAGUCUGGGAAAUUCCAGGAGGAGAACUGGACACCUGAGUGAAGAGAGGGAGGGAAGAGUUUCCAUUUCCCUGGCUGAGUCCAGGCUUCGCGGACAGAGCAGAAAGAGUUCCAGGUUACUGGUGUCAAAAUCAUGAUUCCAGCAGGCCUACUGACAUGUGCUUUGCUUCCCAGAGCUCUGGAGGCAAGGACAACCAGAUCUCUGUGAGUUCUGGGCCAGCCGGUCUGGACAGUGAAUUGUAAGCCAGCCAGCGAUACAAAGUGAGACCCUGUCCUGGAAAAAGAAAAAGAAAAAGAAAAAGAAAAAGAAAAAGAAAAAGAAAAAGACA
This 642-nucleotide long non-coding RNA is filed under the name Cricetulus griseus (Chinese hamster). RNAcentral's name for it is "lncRNA (ENSCGRG00000026192.1)". The record is from RNAcentral. Lineage: Eukaryota; Metazoa; Chordata; Mammalia; Rodentia; Cricetidae.